Long non-coding RNA from Fundulus heteroclitus (mummichog), 243 nucleotides. RefSeq lists it as uncharacterized. The record is from RefSeq and is a predicted model, not a curated record. Lineage: Eukaryota; Metazoa; Chordata; Actinopteri; Cyprinodontiformes; Fundulidae. The transcript has 3 exons.
AGCACGACCAAAUUCUGAAGAAAAUGCAUCCAAUUCAACAAAAAAAUUGUUGGCAAGAAAUCAUCACUGCCAUCAGUUGACAUGAGACACUUGGAGGAAGCACAUUCUGAAGAAAAGGCAUCUACUUUAACAAAGAAAAUUUGUGGCACAAAGAAACCCUCAUUGCCAUCAGUUCAAAACGUACACUCAGAGGAAGAACCUCCUGAAGAAGGGGCAGCUAUUUCUAAAAACAAAAUGGGUGGC